CAGCCGCCGCGGGAAUACGUAGGUGGCAAGCGUUGUCCGGAAUUAUUGGGCGUAAAGGGCUCGCAGGCGGUUUCUUAAGUCUGAUGUGAAAGCCCCCGGCGCAACCGGGGAGGGUCAUUGGAAACUGGGAAACUUGAGUGCAGAAGAGGAGAGUGGAAUUCCACGUGUAGCGGUGAAAUGCGUAGAGAUGUGGAGGAACACCAGUGGCGAAGGCGACUCUCUGGUCUGUAACUGACGCUGAGGAGCGAAAGCGUGGGGAGCGAACAGGAUUAGAUACCCCAGUAGUCCCUGUCUCUUAUAC
Molecule: ribosomal RNA, 301 nt
Filed under: uncultured bacterium
Lineage: Bacteria
Description: partial 16S ribosomal RNA
Rfam family: Bacterial small subunit ribosomal RNA
Source: RNAcentral